CCCUUUGAAAUUAGAAUUAAGGUUAAUUGUUUUUCUUUUUUUUUCUUUUGAUUCUUCACCCAACAAUUUAAUUGAUCAAUUAUCGAUCAACCUAAUCAAAUAUUCAUUCGUUAAUUAUUCGGUGAUUCAUUUUUGUUUUGUUUUCUUUUUCUUCUUUUGUUUGAUUUCAUCUUCUUCAUAUGUAACAAUCAUCAAAAUUUUCGCUUCUCUAUUAAUUCAAUUGCUUCUGAUUAUUUAUUCCUUGGUGGUUAAAAUCAAUUAAUUAUUCUAAAGUUAAUGGAUAACCAGUUUGAUCGGUUAAUUGACAUGAAUUUGUUUGUUUUUCAUUUUCAAGGGCAACACAUCAGUUAACUCUCUCCACCAUUUUCGUAUACAUUGAGGAUCAUAACAUCAUCUCCAUCUUGUUUACCAUCACCAACCAGAAUCAACAAGCAUCAUAACAUUUAAAAUUUAAUGUCACCAAGAAGAUGGAACAACUGAACAAAUUAGCUAAUUUAAUGAUGACUAUUAACAUCAUUGAAUUGAUUAAGAAAAUAUGAAGAGAAAGUGAUUUAAAGGUUGUUGACAUUAUAUUACAAUUACCUUUUGAUUAUUAUCUUUACCAUUAUCAUCAUUGGAACUUGAAUUUUUUUCUUCUUCUUUCUCAAUAACUGAUCAUAAUGAUAUAUGUUCACAACUUGAUUUAGGUGAUACUUGAUUAUAUUAAUCAUAAUCAUUAUCAUUCUCAUUCUAAUGACUUGUUGAUUUGUUUACAUUUCAUUUUUCUUCCUUCUAUAUAUGUACAGUUAUCAUUCAAUUUGAUUUUCUUUUUCUGCUUAAAGGUUCUGAUUAUUGUCAUUGAACACUCAUCAUUAUAAUGAUCAUGUUAAUUUUCAUGUAAUCAGUUUCUAUCUUUUAUUAACCCAUCAUGUAAAUCAAUUUUAUAAUCAUCAUCAGCAUCAAGACACUAUUAGUUUAUUGUAUAUGAACAAUAUGCUGAUAAUGAUGAUGAUGAUUACUACUUAUUAAUAUAAUCAUCUUUCAUUGAUGAUUAGGUUGAUAUCA
Long non-coding RNA from Panonychus citri (citrus red mite), 1044 nucleotides. RefSeq lists it as uncharacterized. The record is from RefSeq and is a predicted model, not a curated record. Lineage: Eukaryota; Metazoa; Arthropoda; Arachnida; Trombidiformes; Tetranychidae. The transcript has 2 exons.